GAUGAAUGCUGGCGGCGUGCCUAACACAUGCCAGUCGAGCGGCAGCGAGUUUUACACUGCCUUCUGGAAGCUUCUGAGUAGUACAGAAGAUUUAUUCAAGAGUUUUGUGUAAAAUGUCGGCGAGCGGCGGACGGCUGAGUAACGCGUAGGAAUUUGCUCCAAAGUGAGGAAUAACUGCCCGAAAGGGUAGCUAAUGCCGCAUAUGGGCUGCGGAUUAAAGCCUUCGGGCGCUUUGGGAGAAGCCUGCGUUGGAUUAGGUAGUUGGUAGGGUAAUGGCCUACCAAGCCGACGAUCCAUAGCUGGGCUGAGGGGAUGAUCAGCAAGACUGGAACUGAGACACGGUCCAGAAUCCUACGGGAGGCAGCAGUGAGGAAUCUUACACAAGGGGCGAAAGCGUGAUGGAGCAACGCCGCGUGAAGGAUGAAGGCCUUCGGGUUGUAAACUUCUUUUAUGCGUGAAGAAUAUGACGGUAACUCAUGAAUAAGCACCGGCUAACUACGUG
This 502-nucleotide ribosomal RNA is filed under the name uncultured bacterium. Its description in RNAcentral is "partial 16S ribosomal RNA". It matches the Rfam family "Bacterial small subunit ribosomal RNA", at positions 28 to 507 of the family's 1533-position model. The record is from RNAcentral.